GUCUAUGGCCAUACCACCCUGAACGCACCUGAUCUCCUCUGAUCUCGGAAGCUAAGCAGGGUCGGGCCUGGUUACUACUUGGAUGGGGAGAAACCUGAAUCCUCUCACCU
Molecule: ribosomal RNA, 110 nt
Filed under: Prolemur simus (greater bamboo lemur)
Lineage: Eukaryota; Metazoa; Chordata; Mammalia; Primates; Lemuridae
Source: RNAcentral